Molecule: unclassified non-coding RNA, 183 nt
Filed under: uncultured Agaricales
Lineage: Eukaryota; Fungi; Basidiomycota; Agaricomycetes; Agaricales
Description: sequence contains ITS1
Source: RNAcentral
UUGAAUGAAAAGCGGGGUUGUAGCUGACCCUCCCCAGGGGGUAUGUGCACACCUGUCUGUCAUUUUCUCCACAUGUGCACUUUUUGUAGGCAGCCUAAGCAAUAAUGUUCAGGUUGUUUAUGCUUUUACAUAUACAUAUACUAUAUAUGAAUGUUGUAAUGAGUGUUAUAAAAACAAAUAAUA